Molecule: unclassified non-coding RNA, 377 nt
Filed under: plant metagenome
Description: partial contains 5.8S ribosomal RNA, internal transcribed spacer 2, and large subunit ribosomal RNA
Rfam family: 5.8S ribosomal RNA (bases 1-104)
Source: RNAcentral
AAAUGCGAUAAGUAAUGUGAAUUGCAGAAUUCAGUGAAUCAUCGAAUCUUUGAACGCACCUUGCGCUCCUUGGUAUUCCUUGGAGCAGGCCUGUUUGAGUAUCAUGAAAUCUUCAAAGUAAAUCUUUUGUUAACUCAAUUGGUUUCUACUUUGGUAUUGGAGGUCUUUGCAGCUUCACACCUGCUCCUCUUUGUUCAUUAGCUGGAUCUCAGUGUUAUGCUUGGUUCCACUCGGCGUGAUAAGUUAUCUAUCGCUGAGGACACUGUAAAAGGUGGCCAAGGUAAAUGCAGAUGAACCGCUUCUAAUAGUCCAUUGACUUGGACAAUACUUUUAUGAUCUGAUCUCAAAUCAGGUAGGACUACCCGCUGAACUUAAGC